UAGGGAAUCUUCCACAAUGGACGCAAGUCUGAUGGAGCAACGCCGCGUGAGUGAAGAAGAUCUUCGGAUCGUAAAACUCUGUUGUUAGAGAAGAACACGAGUGAGAGUAACUGUUCAUUCGAUGACGGUAUCUAACCAGCAAGUCACGGUUAACUACGUACCAG
Molecule: ribosomal RNA, 164 nt
Filed under: uncultured bacterium
Lineage: Bacteria
Description: partial 16S rRNA
Rfam family: Bacterial small subunit ribosomal RNA
Source: RNAcentral